This 800-nucleotide ribosomal RNA is filed under the name Streptomyces tuirus. RNAcentral's name for it is "bacterial SSU rRNA". It matches the Rfam family "Bacterial small subunit ribosomal RNA", at positions 56 to 870 of the family's 1533-position model. Lineage: Bacteria; Bacillati; Actinomycetota; Actinomycetes; Kitasatosporales; Streptomycetaceae. The record is from RNAcentral.
UGCAAGUCGAACGAUGAACCACUUCGGUGGGGAUUAGUGGCGAACGGGUGAGUAACACGUGGGCAAUCUGCCCUGCACUCUGGGACAAGCCCUGGAAACGGGGUCUAAUACCGGAUACUGACCACCGCAGGCAUCUGUGGUGUUCGAAAGCUCCGGCGGUGCAGGAUGAGCCCGCGGCCUAUCAGCUUGUUGGUGAGGUAAUGGCUCACCAAGGCGACGACGGGUAGCCGGCCUGAGAGGGCGACCGGCCACACUGGGACUGAGACACGGCCCAGACUCCUACGGGAGGCAGCAGUGGGGAAUAUUGCACAAUGGGCGAAAGCCUGAUGCAGCGACGCCGCGUGAGGGAUGACGGCCUUCGGGUUGUAAACCUCUUUCAGCAGGGAAGAAGCGAAAGUGACGGUACCUGCAGAAGAAGCGCCGGCUAACUACGUGCCAGCAGCCGCGGUAAUACGUAGGGCGCGAGCGUUGUCCGGAAUUAUUGGGCGUAAAGAGCUCGUAGGCGGCUUGUCACGUCGGUUGUGAAAGCCCGGGGCUUAACCCCGGGUCUGCAGUCGAUACGGGCAGGCUAGAGUUCGGUAGGGGAGAUCGGAAUUCCUGGUGUAGCGGUGAAAUGCGCAGAUAUCAGGAGGAACACCGGUGGCGAAGGCGGAUCUCUGGGCCGAUACUGACGCUGAGGAGCGAAAGCGUGGGGAGCGAACAGGAUUAGAUACCCUGGUAGUCCACGCCGUAAACGGUGGGCACUAGGUGUGGGCAACAUUCCACGUUGUCCGUGCCGCAGCUAACGCAUUAAGUGCCCC